RNAcentral lists this ribosomal RNA (468 nucleotides) under uncultured bacterium. RNAcentral describes it as "partial 16S ribosomal RNA". It matches the Rfam family "Bacterial small subunit ribosomal RNA", at positions 28 to 507 of the family's 1533-position model. The record is from RNAcentral.
GACGAACGCUGGCGGCGUGCUUAACACAUGCAAGUCGAACGGAAAGGCCCUGCUUUUGUGGGGUACUCGAGUGGCGAACGGGUGAGUAACACGUGAGUAACCUGCCCUUGACUUUGGGAUAACUUCAGGAAACUGGGGCUAAUACCGGAUAGGAGCUCCUGCUGCAUGGUGGGGGGUGGAAAGUUUCGGCGGUUGGGGAUGGACUCGCGGCUUAUCAGCUUGUUGGUGGGGUAGUGGCUUACCAAGGCUUUGACGGGUAGCCGGCCUGAGAGGGUGACCGGCCACAUUGGGACUGAGAUACGGCCCAGACUCCUACGGGAGGCAGCAGUGGGGAAUAUUGCACAAUGGGCGGAAGCCUGAUGCAGCAACGCCGCGUGCGGGAUGACGGCCUUCGGGUUGUAAACCGCUUUCGCCUGUGACGAAGCGUGAGUGACGGUAAUGGGUAAAGAAGCACCGGCUAACUACGUG